CAUUUCCCACAAAGUAUUUCACCGGCACCGCGACCAAUGCGCAAAGGUUCCUGGGUAGUUCAGCUCUUCUUCAUCUGAGCCCGACAAAGACGGGAGUGCCGGAAACUACAUAUCCCAGAAUCUCCUUCGCUGAUGUUGGUACGAGUGGUAAGGUCUACAAUGUGGUGGAAAGUGCAGUUUUUCCUGUUCUCCCCGAGUAUCCAAAAUCACUUUCCAGUUUGAUCCCUGGUCUGCUGAGAUUUCCAGCAUUUGCAGUAUUUUGUUCUUACUCUUUGACAGAGUAUGAUUAUUAAUGCAGGAAGAGGACUGCAGUCUGUGUAUCGGUAUUCAUCAGAAUCAGGCACUUACCUCCUUAGAGCGCAGGCAGCAAGAAUAGGGGACGGAGCAGCGUUCCCGACUGGGGUUCUCUACUGUGCAGUUGAAGUACAUAUUGUGGCUCCAGUCCUUGUAUGAGAUUCCUCCACAACAGCUGAACUGAGGCACCAAAAGUAGGGAUUAC
Long non-coding RNA from Rhincodon typus (whale shark), 499 nucleotides. RefSeq lists it as uncharacterized. The transcript is spliced from 3 exons. Lineage: Eukaryota; Metazoa; Chordata; Chondrichthyes; Orectolobiformes; Rhincodontidae. The record is from RefSeq and is a predicted model, not a curated record.